CGCGGCCUAUCAGCUUGUUGGUGGGGUAAUGGCCUACCAAGGCGACGACGGGUAGCCGGCCUGAGAGGGUGACCGGCCACACUGGGACUGAGACACGGCCCAGACUCCUACGGGAGGCAGCAGUGGGGAAUAUUGCACAAUGGGCGCAAGCCUGAUGCAGCGACGCCGCGUGAGGGAUGAAGGCCUUCGGGUUGUAAACCUCUUUCAGUAGGGAAGAAGCUGGUCCUUCGGGGUUGGUGACGGUACCUGCAGAAGAAGCGCCGGCUAACUACGUGCCAGCAGCCGCGGUAAUACGUAGGGCGCAAGCGUUAUCCGGAAUUAUUGGGCGUAAAGAGCUCGUAGGCGGUUUGUCGCGUCUGCCGUGAAAGUCCGGGGCUUAACUCCGGAUCUGCGGUGGGUACGGGCAGACUAGAGUGCAGUAGGGGAGACUGGAAUUCCUGGUGUAGCGGUGAAAUGCGCAGAUAUCAGGAGGAACACCGAUGGCGAGGGCAGGUCUCUGGGCUGUAACUGACGCUGAGGAGCGAAAGCAUGGGGAGCGAACAGGAUUAGAUACCCUGGUAGUCCAUGCCGUAAACGUUGGGCACUAGGUGUGGGGGACAUUCCACGUUUUCCGCGCCGUAGCUAACGCAUUAAGUGCCCCGCCUGGGGAGUACGG
RNAcentral lists this ribosomal RNA (655 nucleotides) under uncultured bacterium. RNAcentral describes it as "bacterial SSU rRNA". It matches the Rfam family "Bacterial small subunit ribosomal RNA", at positions 232 to 885 of the family's 1533-position model. The record is from RNAcentral.